GUUAAAGAGAGGGUGUGAAGUUUAUUAAUGAUGAUAUUUAUCAGCGGGUGGUGAAUCUGUGGGAUUCGUUGCCACAGACGGCGGUGGAGGCCAAGUAGCUACAUCACUACUAUCGGAGUGGAUUUCAAGAUUCAGACGGUCGAUGUUAAUGGGGAGAAGGUGAAGCUGCAGAUCUGUACAAUCACGUCUACGUAGCUACAUCACUACUAUCGGAGUGGAUUUUAAGAUUCAGACGGUCGAUGUUAAUGGGGAGAAGGUGAAGCUGCAGAUCCGUACAAUCACGUCUACGGUUUAGGAGCCGUUGCUGUGGACGGAGAGACGGGGACGUGAACGGACAUUGAGGGUG
Molecule: long non-coding RNA, 346 nt
Organism: Amblyraja radiata (thorny skate)
Lineage: Eukaryota; Metazoa; Chordata; Chondrichthyes; Rajiformes; Rajidae
Exons: 4
Source: RefSeq, a predicted model, not a curated record